This is a long non-coding RNA of Homo sapiens (human), 560 nucleotides long. Ensembl annotates it as SOX2 overlapping transcript. Its record names the gene SOX2-OT. Lineage: Eukaryota; Metazoa; Chordata; Mammalia; Primates; Hominidae. The record is from Ensembl.
AUUUGAAAACUCCCCUUGCACCAGGGCUGACUGUAGCUGGGGGAAGACAUUUUACUCAUUUGCUCUUUCCUUUCAUACAGUCAGCUGGUCCCUCUUCUCAGGUGUAGAUCACCUAUUAUAAUUUUACCUAAUUUUGAUACUCUGAUAAGGAAAGUCCCAGGACUUAUCAGCUGGGAUAGGCCUCACUUACAAGACAGCUCUGUUCAGUAUUUGGAAGAAAGCCUGACAGGUUUCUUCGGAAAAGUGGCCAUCCAUGGAAUGAAUGAAAUGUUCUCUUUCUAUUCCAGCCUCCCUACAGCGUUGGCUCAGCUCUAGCUACUUGGAAGGUCGUGGCAAUGCUGUCUCAGAAUGUCCGUUUCUAGAGUACAGAGAAGAAAUUCUAGCUUGACGUCCACGUGCAUUUGUCUGUGUUUCAGAGGAAAUUCCAAUUCUAAACUCUUGGAAGAAACAAUUUCUCGGCAUGCUGAAGAGAAUUGCUGUUUUUUGGCACCUGAAACACUUUUACCCAAGGGUUCUGAUUAUUUAAAUAAUUGGUAUGCUAUAAAUAUUCUGGUUGACAG